UUGUCUUCUCUGCCGCAGUGCUUCUCGGCCCUCUCCUGUGAACUUUCAAUUUCAACUGUAGCAUCUGAAUGUUUCAUUUUUGCUUCUAUGGGGGAUUUUGUAGGUGAAGCAAAAGUUUGAUGCUCUUGAUGGUAGAAUUGUGAACCUUGAGCAUUCUUUGUCACCAGACCCGAAUCAUCAUCCCGCUCAGGUAUUAAUAUUUAUUUACUUUUAAUUUCGUUGUUUUAAUCUAAUGAAUUGUAUUUGUGAUUUGGUUGAAUUUCUGAUAGUUUUAUACAUUAGCCUCCGACCCCUUCAUCCCAAUUAUUUUCAGAAAUGAUUAUUACCCAAUACCCAUCUCAACAAUUUCAAUCUCAAUCUUUUAGCUAUAGUUCCAAAUCCCAACAUUCAGAGGCUAUUUUUCUCUGCAAUAAAUUUCUUCAAAAUUCCAUAAACUAGUCAAAUAGGUUGCCUAUGUGGUCUAUGUUGUUUACUAGUUUUGUGUGAGUGUGAUUGUGUGACCUUCGGUUAGGCCAAAACUGCAUCUGCAUUACGAGGUAAAUCCAGUUGAGUCCAUUUUGUGCGUAGCGUAACCACUGCACCAAUCCAUUGUGAUUUACAUUUCAACUGUUGCAUCAGAAUCUGCAUUUAAUAUUGGGAGUAGAGUACUAGAUCAAUAUUGUAGUUCAUUGUUACCAGAAACAGUUCAAGCUUUAUUGUUCACACGAGAUUGACUAAUUGGAAAAUGAGGUAAUAUAUUUUUAAAUGGUAUAAUACUAUUGUUUUAUUUAUUUUCAUAAUUAUUUUGGUAAACUUCUCAUAAUUUGAAUGGUUUUUAAUGUUUGGUUUUUCUAUACUUAGUUUAUGCGGAAGAGAAUUCUGACGUGGAAAACCUUACUGAAAACAUCAUCAACAUAACUCUUGAAGGCAAUAGAUCAAGCCAAAGUUCCAAUACAAUUUCCUCAUGAUAAUCGAUGAAAAUUGAGGAUUUUGUAAAAGAAAUAACAUGUAAACUUUGAGUUCCAUUGGCAAGGUUUAAACUUUUGAGAAAGGCUUCCCAAACCUUGAAAACAAAAACUCUUUCAUUUUGCAUAUCCUUCCACAUUUAAUAUUUUGUAAUAGACUAGUGUAUGGAUGUUUUUUUUUUUUAGGCUCUUAUUUUUGAGUGUAGAUGUAGUACUUAAAUGACAAAUAUGUUUUAACGUUUUGAAGUAAUAUUUAUG
Molecule: long non-coding RNA, 1202 nt
Filed under: Malus domestica (apple)
Lineage: Eukaryota; Viridiplantae; Streptophyta; Magnoliopsida; Rosales; Rosaceae
Description: long non-coding RNA (MDOM_LNC001633)
Source: RNAcentral